CGGUAAACUCCACCCGGAGCAAGGCCAAAUAGGGGUUCAUAAGGUACGGCCCGUACUGAACCCGGGUAGGCUGCUUGAGCCAGUGAGCGAUUGCUGGCCUAGAUGAAUGACUGUCCACGACAGAACCCGGCUUAUCGGUCAGUUUCACCU
RNAcentral lists this RNase P RNA (150 nucleotides) under Salmonella enterica subsp. enterica. RNAcentral's name for it is "partial RNase P RNA component class A". It matches the Rfam family "Bacterial RNase P class A", at positions 204 to 367 of the family's 367-position model. Rfam says of the family: Ribonuclease P (RNase P) is a ubiquitous endoribonuclease, found in archaea, bacteria and eukarya as well as chloroplasts and mitochondria. Its best characterised activity is the generation of mature 5'-ends of tRNAs by cleaving the 5'-leader elements of precursor-tRNAs. The record is from RNAcentral. Lineage: Bacteria; Pseudomonadati; Pseudomonadota; Gammaproteobacteria; Enterobacterales; Enterobacteriaceae.